This 443-nucleotide ribosomal RNA is filed under the name uncultured bacterium. RNAcentral describes it as "partial 16S ribosomal RNA". It matches the Rfam family "Bacterial small subunit ribosomal RNA", at positions 338 to 795 of the family's 1533-position model. The record is from RNAcentral.
CCUACGGGAGGCAGCAGUGGGGAAUAUUGCACAAUGGGGGAAACCCUGAUGCAGCGACGCCGCGUGAAGGAAGAAGUAUUUCGGUAUGUAAACUUCUUUUCUCAGGGACGAAGCAAGUGACGGUACCUGAGGAAUAAGCCACGGCUAACUACGUGCCAGCAGCCGCGGUAAUACGUAGGUGGCAAGCGUUAUCCGGAUUUACUGGGUGUAAAGGGCGUGUAGGCGGGACUGCAAGUCAGAUGUGAAAACCAUGGGCUCAACCUAUGGCCUGCAUUUGAAACUGUAGUUCUUGAGUACUGGAGAGGCAGACGGAAUUCCUAGUGUAGCGGUGAAAUGCGUAGAUAUUAGGAGGAACACCAGUGGCGAAGGCGGUCUGCUGGACAGCAACUGACGCUGAGGCGCGAAAGCGUGGGGAGCAAACAGGAUUAGAUACCCUUGUAGUC